CAAACGUCAAAUGCUUACUCGGUGCUGUUCAGCAUUCUGUCCAUCUCUCUAGUCAAUGUGCCACGGAAAGGAUCGUGGACUUUGCUGGAAGCUGUAUGGGGGAACCCUGCCUCAAGGUAACCAAACCAGGGGAACGAGAUGCACAUGCCGGGAGGGACCUUGCCCCGGGAAGGCGGAAAGGCGGAGGCAGCCUAAGAUUUGGGGCCAGAUGAGCCCACUUCCUAUGUGAUGGCUGUAAAUCAAUGAACUCCUCUGAGUUUCUCAAUUACUUCAUGUAUAAAAUGUGAGUAAUAUCGCUUACCUCUAACAAUUAAGAUUCACAUUAAAUUAAAUAACAUGCAAAGUGUCUGGCAUAAACUAGUCACUCAAUAUUUUUAAUUUCUGUGCUUGUGACUUGCCUGGAGUCCUGAAGGUGCUGUCUGCAGAGGAAUCGGUUUGCUCUUCUGAGGACCCUAGACCACCAUCUUGUCAUCAGCCAUUACUAUUCAUCAACACCAUCUAUUUCUCUGCCCAGAAGACCCCUUCCAGGAAAUGCUCCUUCCUUCACUGUAACCUUGUGAUUUGAAGGGGAUAUUCUUGUUGAUUGGGCCAAGGAUGGGCAUUUACUCAAAUCAGAGUACUUCUUUGGGAUUUGGAACAGACUAUUGCUGAUGGUGGAGCUGGCAGACAGGAGGGAAGGAACUGAAGUUGCGUUCCCAUAUUUUCCCCAAAGUGGAGAAAGUGGGUCUGAGAGGCAAAGAGAAACAAGCCUGGGAGACAGAGUCCCUGAGGCCUGCUACCCCUUGCCUUUUCUUUCUGGAAACUUCUAACACCUCACAGUCCGUCGUCCUCUCCCAAAUCCUUGAAUAAUCUGGUUGAACUUUGGUUGCUUUAACAUGCAACUGAAGGAAUCUUAAAACAAUAUUUUCCCCAAUCAUUGAGGGUGGAUAUUGUUCUCAUUUAGUAAAUGGAAGCAUAAGCCCAGAAGGGUUGAGUGAUGGAGAGCGGCCAAGAAGCUAGUCGGAGGCAGAACUAGGAUUCCUCCUAGAAGCCAAAGGCUAGGUUACCUUCACUUAUGCUCAGGAAACCUACUGUUGACCAGGAGGCCCCAAGCACUGG
This 1098-nucleotide long non-coding RNA is filed under the name Equus caballus (horse). Its description in RNAcentral is "lncRNA (ENSECAG00000045137.1)". The record is from RNAcentral. Lineage: Eukaryota; Metazoa; Chordata; Mammalia; Perissodactyla; Equidae.